This 481-nucleotide ribosomal RNA is filed under the name uncultured bacterium. RNAcentral describes it as "partial 16S ribosomal RNA". It matches the Rfam family "Bacterial small subunit ribosomal RNA", at positions 28 to 507 of the family's 1533-position model. The record is from RNAcentral.
GAUGAACGCUGGCGGCGUGCUUAACACAUGCCAGUCGAACGAAGCAUUUGCGACAGAUUUUUUCGGAAUGAAGUUGCUUAUGACUGAGUGGCGGACGGGUGAGUAACGCGUGGGUAACCUGCCUUGUACUGGGGGAUAGCAGCUGGAAACGGCUGGUAAUACCGCAUAAGCGCACAAUGUUGCAUGACAUGGUGUGAAAAACUCCGGUGGUAUAAGAUGGACCCGCGUCUGAUUAGCUAGUUGGUGAGAUAACAGCCCACCAAGGCGACGAACAGUAGCCGACCUGAGAGGGUGACCGGCCACAUUGGGACUGAGACACGGCCCAGACUCCUACGGGAGGCAGCAGUGGGGAAUAUUGCACAAUGGAGGAAACUCUGAUGCAGCGACGCCGCGUGAGUGAAGAAGUAAUUCGUUAUGUAAAGCUCUAUCAGCAGGGAAGAUAGUGACGGUACCUGACGAAGAAGCGCCGGCUAAAUACGUG